This 497-nucleotide ribosomal RNA is filed under the name uncultured bacterium. Its description in RNAcentral is "partial 16S ribosomal RNA". It matches the Rfam family "Bacterial small subunit ribosomal RNA", at positions 28 to 507 of the family's 1533-position model. The record is from RNAcentral.
GAUGAACGCUGGCGGUGUGCCUAAUACAUGCAAGUCGAGCGAACAGACGAGGAGCUUACUCCUCUGACGUUAGCGGCGGACGGGUGAGUAACACGUGGAUAACCUACCUAUAAGACUGGGAUAACUUCGGGAAACCGGAGCUAAUACCGGAUAACAUGUUGAACCGCAUGGUUCAACAGUGAAAGACGGUCUUGCUGUCACUUAUAGAUGGAUCCGCGUCGCAUUAGCUAGUUGGUAAGGUAACGGCUUACCAAGGCAACGAUGCGUAGCCGACCUGAGAGGGUGAUCGGCCACACUGGAACUGAGACACGGUCCAGACUCCUACGGGAGGCAGCAGUAGGGAAUCUUACGCAAUGGGCGAAAGCCUGACGGAGCAACGCCGCGUGAGUGAAGAAGGUCUUCGGAUCGUAAAACUCUGUUAUUAGGGAAGAACAAAUGUGUAAGUAACUAUGCACGUCUUGACGGUACCUAAUCAGAAAGCCACGGCUAACUACGUG